GUGAAUCAUCGAAUUUUUGAACGCAAAUUGCACUCUCCUCGGAGAGUAUGCCUGUUUGAGGGUCAGCCUAUAAAAAAUCGACAUCGUUGCUGUUUCGCGGUGACGUUCGUCGGAAAUUGGGUCAUCUUAAAUCCUUUUGGCUUUAAGCGACUUAAAAUUUUCUUUUUGUUCCCAUUAAGUUUCUUAAAUUCUUUUUUUUUCCACGUUUAUGUUUUG
Molecule: unclassified non-coding RNA, 216 nt
Filed under: Glomus sp.
Lineage: Eukaryota; Fungi; Glomeromycota; Glomeromycetes; Glomerales; Glomeraceae
Description: partial contains 5.8S ribosomal RNA and internal transcribed spacer 2
Rfam family: 5.8S ribosomal RNA (bases 1-65)
Source: RNAcentral